RNAcentral lists this small RNA (539 nucleotides) under Pongo abelii (Sumatran orangutan). RNAcentral's name for it is "processed transcript". The record is from RNAcentral. Lineage: Eukaryota; Metazoa; Chordata; Mammalia; Primates; Hominidae.
AGAGGGGUGGCGGCCGCAGCCCGGGUAGGGCCAGAAGACCGUUCCACGUUUGCAAACGCGGCCGCACGCCCAGGCCGACCCCUGCCGCCCGAGCUCCGCGCUGCGUCCGCGCCACUCUCCUCGCCGCCCCGAUGGCGUUCCGGGGCUGGAGGCCCCCGCCGCCACCGCUGCUCCUGCUGCUGCUCUGGGUGACCGGGCAGGCAGCGCCCGUGGCGGGCCUGGGCUCCGACGCGGAGCUGCAGAUCGAGCGGCGCUUCGUGCCCGACGAGUGCCCGCGCACCGUGCGCAGCGGCGACUUCGUGCGCUACCACUACGUGGGGACGUUCCCCGACGGCCAGAAGUUCGACUCCAGGUACUGGGAUACAGCAGAGGAUAAAGCUGACAAAAAUCCCUGCCCUCAAGUCAGGGUUGGGGUGAACACAAGCCCGUCCUGCAGACUUAAGCAGAAAGGAGUGGGAAUUUAUUGGAAGGAUCUCCAAUUCCUUGUGAGGGUCCAGAAUCAUGGACUGAGCUAUGACAGAGACUCCACUUUCAACGUG